Xenopus laevis (African clawed frog) is the source of this 141-nucleotide non-coding RNA. The record is from Rfam. Lineage: Eukaryota; Metazoa; Chordata; Amphibia; Anura; Pipidae.
UCAGCAGUGAUGAUUGGCGCAGGGGUACAGACCUCAGCUGGAUAAUGGGAGCUGAGUGCAGAGGCAAGUCUGUCUGGUGAGCUGAUGUGUGGUCGGUGACUGGAAGACUCUCUGCGUGAAACAGUCGCCAUACUGAGCUAU